Molecule: unclassified non-coding RNA, 345 nt
Filed under: soil metagenome
Description: partial contains 5.8S ribosomal RNA, internal transcribed spacer 2, and large subunit ribosomal RNA
Rfam family: 5.8S ribosomal RNA (bases 1-120)
Source: RNAcentral
GAUGAAGAACGUAGCGAAAUGCGAUACGUAAUGUGAAUUGCAGAAUUCAGUGAAUCAUCGAGUCUUUGAACGCACAUUGCGCCCCCUGGUAUUCCGGGGGGCAUGCCUGUCCGAGCGUCAAUGCUGCCCUCAAGCACGGCUUGUGUGUUGGGCCUCCGUCCUCCUCCCGGGGGACGGGCCCGAAAGGCAGCGGCGGCACCGCGUCCGGUCCUCGAGCGUAUGGGGCUUCGUCACCCGCUCUUGUAGGCCCGGCCGGCGCUUGCCGACACAUCAAUCUUUUUUCCAGGUUGACCUCGGAUCAGGUAGGGAUACCCGCUGAACUUAAGCAUAUCAAUAAGCGGAGGA